UACGUAAGGCCCGAGCGUUGUCCGGAAUCAUUGGGCGUAAAGGGUACGUAGGCGGUUAGAAAAGUUUGAAGUAAAAGGCUAUAGCUCAACCAUAGUAAGCUUUUAAAACUGUUUAACUUGAGAGAUGGAAGGGAAAGUGGAAUUCCUAGUGUAGCGGUGAAAUGCGCAGAUAUGAGGAGGAAUACCGGUGGCGAAGGCGACUUUCUGGCCAGAAACUGACGCUGAGGUACGAAAGCGUGGGGAGCAAACAGG
This 252-nucleotide ribosomal RNA is filed under the name uncultured bacterium. RNAcentral describes it as "partial 16S ribosomal RNA". It matches the Rfam family "Bacterial small subunit ribosomal RNA", at positions 524 to 776 of the family's 1533-position model. The record is from RNAcentral.